Molecule: transfer RNA, 109 nt
Filed under: Phakopsora pachyrhizi
Lineage: Eukaryota; Fungi; Basidiomycota; Pucciniomycetes; Pucciniales; Phakopsoraceae
Description: tRNA-Val
Source: RNAcentral
GGUCCGCUGGUGUAGCUGGUUAUCACAUUCGCUUCACAUCUUCUCCACCCUCUCAGGGUGUUUCACUAGUGUUCGCGAGAGGCCAUGAGUUCGAACCUCAUGCGGAUCA